CAGUCGCCGCGGUAAUACGUAGGGUGCAAGCGUUAAUCGGAAUUACUGGGCGUAAAGCGUGCGCAGGCGGUUUGUUAAGACAGAUGUGAAAUCCCCGGGCUCAACCUGGGAACUGCAUUUGUGACUGGCAGGCUAGAGUAUGGCAGAGGGGGGUGGAAUUCCGCGUGUAGCAGUGAAAUGCGUAGAUAUGCGGAGGAACACCGAUGGCGAAGGCAGCCCCCUGGGCCAAUACUGACGCUCAUGCACGAAAGCGUGGGGAGCAAACAGGAUUAGAUACCCGAGUAGUCCCUGUCUCUUAUAC
RNAcentral lists this ribosomal RNA (301 nucleotides) under uncultured bacterium. RNAcentral describes it as "partial 16S ribosomal RNA". It matches the Rfam family "Bacterial small subunit ribosomal RNA", at positions 509 to 807 of the family's 1533-position model. The record is from RNAcentral.